CAGGCAGGGGUGAUGAUUCACGGCUAUUUUUGCCAGCCACCCACCACAGGUGGACUCCUGUUGUGGGGCAGAGACACAGGGCUGACUUGCUUCCUGAGUGAGAGUGAGGCAGGGUGGAUAGAACCUUCCCUUUGAACUGUCCUCCCCAUUUCCAAGGUCUUACUGAGCCUCCCACUGACCCCGGCUUCUGCUCUCUCGCCCAGACCCCAGGCGUCUUCUGGAAGAGAGAUGUGUGGAGACAGCAGUCUCCUCUCCCGUCCCCAGCUCUGCUGUAGGCUCAUCCCGAGUCUUCUUGGCGUCUCAGUUUCCCAUCCAGGCGACCUGAGGCUUUAUCUGGUGUGUUCUGGACAGAGUACACUUCUUCGUUCUGAAGACUUGCCUCAUGACCUGCUGCAGCCAGCGGAAUGAGAGCGGACAUAAGAUGUUUCACCUCCAACCGAGGGCUUCCGACGUUGUGUGGCUGUGUUGGCCUUUCAUCCCCCUGCCUUGCACCUUGAGAGGGGUAGGCCUGGGUGGCGAUUGUGCCUUCAGCCUGAGCCCUGGAGUGAGUGUGUGAGCAGACCCCAGUGGCGAGCAGAGACGCUUCAGCCGACGUGCGACCUGUGAGCAGGAAGCAUGCGCCUGCUGCUGUUGGAGUUUUUGUCUCACACGUGUGGUGGCCCUCGCUGGCCUGCAUAGACUGCUGCCGGGCAGAGUGACGCUCACAGACCCGGCUCUCCCAGGCCUCUGUGAUGCCGGCUGCUGUUGGCAUUUGUUGAAAUUCAUGAUCUCGUAGAGCCCAGGCCACGGGCAGACCCUCUCACAGAACUUCCCUUAGCAUUUCUGCUCCUUGGGUAUUCAGAAGGUGCAGAGGCUAUUUCCUGUUUGGUUCUUGUUCACAGAUGCAUCCAGAAUUCUUCCCCUCCCUGGAGACCACCCUCAUGGAGCAGGAGCCACGUUAACUCCCCUUUCCUCUUGCUACCAUGCUCGUGCCCCACACGUGGUGGAUGGUCAGACAAUGUUUGCUACGCUGGAUUGACUUGAGCGUUCACCCCACAGGGCAUGCUGAGUGCUGGCAGGAAUCGCCAACAGGGCCCAGCCUGUGCUCCGUGCUUCGAGGCUGGAUCUGUCAUUGUGAGAAUGAGGGGCUGGGCGGCCUCCCAGGGCUCUUGGCCUGGGGCCUGGGCCUGGCAAAAAUGUGAUCCCUCUCACUGUCCUCAGGAUCUCGGCACCCAGAGCCUGUGUCGGGGGGAACGAGGCAGUGUCACACACUGGUCCACCCCCGUCCUGGGAAGCCGGUGGACUGCCUUAUCGGUGGCCCCUGGUGGCCCCAGCAGUCCUGCUGUGGUUCCCGGAGCAGAGGCUGCCCUGCAUCACGGGGAAAUCGGUUUGCAUCAGGAUGCUUGGGGAUGCGUCAGUGCUGGCAUUUGCGGACCUGGUACAGAGACAGCUCUGGGCUCACUGGUGCUUCUCCCGUAGUGGAUGGUGACCCUGGUUCUUGGACAGGCCUGUACCGUGGAAGCUGCCCAGACCCCACAGGCCUUGCUAAGCUAACGGCUGUAGAUUCGUGAAGGUAUCUGGGCCAUGUGGAUCGAAGCUGGGUCAAAACACGAGGUCACAGGCAGCAAUACGAGUUAACCUCUGCUCCGAAUCCUGCUAAAGUCAACUCUAACAAAGGAAGGGCUCUCCUGCUCUCUCUGUGCAAAGAAAGGGAUGAGCGACACGCACUUAGCUGCAGCGGGAGAUUCAGGGUUUAUUAGUUAUCCAUCAUUUAUCUGUCACUGCAGACAAAGUACUCCAAAGUUCGUGGCUUAAAGGAACUGUAAGCAGUUAUUAUCCUCAGAGUUUCUGUGGGUCAGCUUGGUCAGGCAGCCCUGGCUCAGGGUCUGUCAUGAAGUUGCUGUCACCUGGAGACUUCCGAGGAAUGGUUGCUGUUGGGAGUUGGUAGGGGCCUCAGUUUCCCCACAUGAUUCCAGCUCCACAUCUGCUUGACUGCUCCUGAUCUGGUGGCUGUCUUCCCUCAGAGCAAGCGAUCUGAGAGAGAGAUCUAGGCAGAAGGCAUCCUUUUUAUGACGAAGCUUUGGAAUCAUAAAGCAGUACUUGUGCAAACA
Molecule: long non-coding RNA, 2090 nt
Organism: Capra hircus (goat)
Lineage: Eukaryota; Metazoa; Chordata; Mammalia; Artiodactyla; Bovidae
Exons: 2
Source: RefSeq, a predicted model, not a curated record